GUAGGGAAUAUUGGACAAUGGGGGGAACCCUGAUCCAGCCAUGCCGCGUGGAGGAAGACUGCCCUCUGGGUUGUAAACUCCUUUUAUAUGGGAAGAACCGUCCUCAUUAAUGAGUGACCUGACGGUACCAUAGGAAUAAGCACCGGCUAACUCCGUGCCAGCAGCCGCGGUAAUACGGAGGGUGCAAGCGUUAUCCGGAUUCACUGGGUGUAAAGGGUGCGUAGGCUGAUAAAUAAGUCAGUGGUGAAAUCAACGGGCUCAACCUGUUAACUGCCAUUGAUACUGUGUAUCUUGAAUAUGAGAGAGGUAGGCGGAAUGUUGCAUGUAGCGGUGAAAUGCUUAGAUAUGCUACGGAACACCGAUUGCGAAGGCAGCUUACUAUUUCGUAAUUGACGCUGAGGCACGAAAGCGUGGGUAGCGAACAGGAUUAGAAACCCGGGUAGUCC
This 446-nucleotide ribosomal RNA is filed under the name uncultured bacterium. Its description in RNAcentral is "partial 16S ribosomal RNA". It matches the Rfam family "Bacterial small subunit ribosomal RNA", at positions 354 to 796 of the family's 1533-position model. The record is from RNAcentral.